CCUACGGGAGGCAGCAGUGAGGAAUAUUGGUCAAUGGACGGAAGUCUGAACCAGCCAUGCCGCGUGCAGGAAGACGGCGCUAUGAGUUGUAAACUGCUUUUGUACAAGGGUAAACCAGAAUACGUGUAUUCAGCUGAAAGUACGGUACGAAUAAGGAUCGGCUAACGCCGUGCCAGCAGCCGCGGUAAUACGGAGGAUCCAAGCGUUAUCCGGAUUUAUUGGGUUUAAAGGGUGCGUAGGCGGAUUGCUAAGUUAGAGGUGAAAUGUCCGAGCUUAACUCGGGAACUGCCUCUCAUACUGUUGAUCUAGAGCGUAGCUGCGGUAGGCUGACUGUCUGGUGUAGCGGUGACAUGCUU
RNAcentral lists this ribosomal RNA (356 nucleotides) under uncultured bacterium. RNAcentral describes it as "partial 16S ribosomal RNA". It matches the Rfam family "Bacterial small subunit ribosomal RNA", at positions 338 to 691 of the family's 1533-position model. The record is from RNAcentral.